GACGAACGCUGGCGGCGUGCCUAAUACAUGCAAGUCGAGCGGAUUGCACCUUCGGGUGCAGUUAGCGGCGGACGGGUGAGUAACACGUAGGCAACCUGCCUAUAGGGACGGGAUAACUACCGGAAACGGUAGCUAAGACCGUAUAGCUGCUUAAGGCGCAUGCCUUGGGCAAGAAACGCGGAGCAAUCUGUGGCCUAUAG
This 200-nucleotide ribosomal RNA is filed under the name uncultured bacterium. RNAcentral describes it as "partial 16S ribosomal RNA". It matches the Rfam family "Bacterial small subunit ribosomal RNA", at positions 28 to 224 of the family's 1533-position model. The record is from RNAcentral.